UCGCACCUACGGGAGGCAGCAGUGAGGAAUAUUGGUCAAUGGUCGGGAGACUGAACCAGCCAAGCCGCGUGAGGGAUGAAGGUACAGAGUAUCGUAAACCUCUUUUGUCAGGGAACAAAACCCGGGACGUGUCCCGGACUGCGUGUAUCCGAAGAAAAAGCAUCGGCUAACUCCGUGCCAGCAGCCGCGGUAAUACGGAGGAUGCGAGCGUUAUCCGGAUUUAUUGGGUUUAAAGGGUGCGUAGGCGGUCCGUUAAGUCAGCGGUAAAAUUGCGGGGCUCAACCCUGUCGAGCCGUUGAAACUGG
RNAcentral lists this ribosomal RNA (305 nucleotides) under uncultured bacterium. Its description in RNAcentral is "bacterial SSU rRNA". It matches the Rfam family "Bacterial small subunit ribosomal RNA", at positions 333 to 636 of the family's 1533-position model. The record is from RNAcentral.